RNAcentral lists this long non-coding RNA (1143 nucleotides) under Equus asinus (donkey). Its description in RNAcentral is "lncRNA (ENSEASG00005027985.1)". Lineage: Eukaryota; Metazoa; Chordata; Mammalia; Perissodactyla; Equidae. The record is from RNAcentral.
CCGGCCCCAACUUGCCCAAAUCCAGCUGGAGCCACCGGCGCGACCAGAGGGCAUCACCGGAAACCCCUCCGGGGCGGGCGGCGGGGCGCGGGGAGACCAGGGCGGGCCACCCUUCCCCGCCCCGCCCCGCGCCCCGCCCACGGGACCCGGACCGCGCCCUCAACCCCAGGCCCCGCGGCCACCCUGGACAGCUCCUGACUGACCGACCUGAGAGACACAGAGACAGAGACAGAGACAGAGAGAUUGAGAGGAUCCGAGACACGGACCCAGACAGACACCCACCGGGACAGACACACAGACGCUCACGCUGACGCAGAGAGGCCCUGCCCAAGAGGCAGCUUCCCCACAGGAGGGCGGUGGUGCUUGAGCUGGGCCCGGGCAAGGAGGCGGGGGCCCUGGGGCUGGCGAUCACCCCUGGGGCCCUGGGACGUGCAGACAGGGUCUCAGGAGUGCAGCGCUCCUGGGAUCCCUGUCCCGCGACCCGGACGCCCAGGAGCCACGGACUGGCAGCCGGGCUCGGGCUCGCUCUCGCUCUCGCUCUCGCUCUCGCUCUCGCUCUCGCUCUGUGUGUGUGCGUUUUUGUGUGCGCCUGCGUGUCUGUGUCUGUUUGUGUGUUUCUUUCCUUCUCUCUUCGCCUCUUCGUUCUGGCUCUUUUCCUCUUUCUGCGGGGCGCCCCCGGACUUCCUGAGUUGACAGAACGACCAGCCAGAAAAGUCAGGACACGGAGAACUUCGCCCGAGAAACCAACGCAAUCUACCAGACGUACAGAACCCCCUCCCCGACGACCACAGCGUCCACAGUCUGCUCGAGUGCAGGGUCGGGUCUCCUCUGAAGUUCAGAAUAAUAUAAAAAGGCCCAUCCUUUGUCAGGCUCAGUGGGAGUACCUGUGGAGCAAUGAUAAGGAUUCAGGAAAUAGUUUACGAUUCAAGUGCAUCCUAAAGUUGGAGCAACCCUGGCUAGAAUAUCAUAGAUCCUUGAGUUGGCAGAGACCUUUCACUCUUCAGUAUAUUUAUAUUCAACGCAAAGAUCCUUCCUUCUAUAUCAUCCUUGACAACAGACCACCUAGAUUCUGUGUAAAUAAUUCCGAUGACAAGAAACGCAUUAAAUAAAGAGACCCCUUUGUUUUUAGAGUUUUAAAUGUUU